Molecule: transfer RNA, 68 nt
Filed under: marine eukaryotic metagenome
Rfam family: tRNA
About the family: Transfer RNA (tRNA) molecules are approximately 80 nucleotides in length.
Source: RNAcentral
CCCAUAGCUCAGUUGGUUAGAGCAGCGGACUCAUAAUCCGAAGGUCCCAGGUUCAAGUCCUGGUGGGC